Molecule: ribosomal RNA, 450 nt
Filed under: uncultured bacterium
Lineage: Bacteria
Description: partial 16S ribosomal RNA
Rfam family: Bacterial small subunit ribosomal RNA
Source: RNAcentral
GUCGAGAAUAAUUCACAAUGGGGGAAACCCUGAUGGUGCAACGCCGCGUGGAGGAUGAAGGUCUUCGGAUUGUAAACUCCUGUCAUCCGGGAGCAAGACCUGGGCGUGAAUAGCGCACAGGUUUGAUAGUACCGGAAGAGGAAGGGACGGCUAACUUCGUGCCAGCAGCCGCGGUAAUACGAAGGGGGCUAGCGUUGCUCGGAAUUACUGGGCGUACAGGGCGCGUAGGCGGCCUGCCUAGUCCGUGGUGAAAGCACAGGGCGCAAGCGUGGAAGUGCCGUUGAUACUGGGUGUCUAGAGUUUGGGAGGGGUGGGGGGAACUCCGGGUGGAGAGGUGAAAUGCGUAGAUAUUAGGAAGAACACCAGUGGCGAAGGCGACUCACUGGCCCAAAACUGACGCUGAGGCGCGAAAGCGUGGGGAGCAAACAGGAUUAGAAACCCGUGUAGUCC